RNAcentral lists this ribosomal RNA (1489 nucleotides) under uncultured bacterium. RNAcentral's name for it is "bacterial SSU rRNA". It matches the Rfam family "Bacterial small subunit ribosomal RNA". The record is from RNAcentral.
UAGUUUGAUUAUGGCUCAGGAUGAACGCUAGCUACAGGCUUAACACAUGCAAGUCGAGGGGCAGCAUUUUAGUUUGCUUGCAAACUAAAGAUGGCGACCGGCGCACGGGUGAGUAACACGUAUCCAACCUGCCGAUAACUCGGGGAUAGCCUUUCGAAAGAAAGAUUAAUAUCCGAUAGUAUAUUAAAACCGCAUGGUUUUACUAUUAAAGAAUUUCGGUUAUCGAUGGGGAUGCGUUCCAUUAGUUUGUUGGCGGGGUAACGGCCCACCAAGACUACGAUGGAUAGGGGUUCUGAGAGGAAGGUCCCCCACAUUGGAACUGAGACACGGUCCAAACUCCUACGGGAGGCAGCAGUGAGGAAUAUUGGUCAAUGGACGAGAGUCUGAACCAGCCAAGUAGCGUGAAGGAUGACUGCCCUAUGGGUUGUAAACUUCUUUUAUAUGGGAAUAAAGUAUUCCACGUGUGGGAUUUUGUAUGUACCAUAUGAAUAAGGAUCGGCUAACUCCGUGCCAGCAGCCGCGGUAAUACGGAGGAUCCGAGCGUUAUCCGGAUUUAUUGGGUUUAAAGGGAGCGUAGGUGGAUUGUUAAGUCAGUUGUGAAAGUUUGCGGCUCAACCGUAAAAUUGCAGUUGAAACUGGCAGUCUUGAGUACAGUAGAGGUGGGCGGAAUUCGUGGUGUAGCGGUGAAAUGCUUAGAUAUCACGAAGAACUCCGAUUGCGAAGGCAGCUCACUAGACUGCAACUGACACUGAUGCUCGAAAGUGUGGGUAUCAAACAGGAUUAGAUACCCUGGUAGUCCACACAGUAAACGAUGAAUACUCGCUGUUUGCGAUAUACAGUAAGCGGCCAAGCGAAAGCAUUAAGUAUUCCACCUGGGGAGUACGCCGGCAACGGUGAAACUCAAAGGAAUUGACGGGGGCCCGCACAAGCGGAGGAACAUGUGGUUUAAUUCGAUGAUACGCGAGGAACCUUACCCGGGCUUAAGUUGCAUUUGAAUAAUCUGGAAACAGGUUAGCCGCAAGGCAAAUGUGAAGGUGCUGCAUGGUUGUCGUCAGCUCGUGCCGUGAGGUGUCGGCUUAAGUGCCAUAACGAGCGCAACCCUUAUCUUUAGUUACUAACAGGUCAUGCUGAGGACUCUAGAGAGACUGCCGUCGUAAGAUGUGAGGAAGGUGGGGAUGACGUCAAAUCAGCACGGCCCUUACGUCCGGGGCUACACACGUGUUACAAUGGGGGGUACAGAAGGCAGCUACCUGGUGACAGGAUGCUAAUCCCAAAAACCUCUCUCAGUUCGGAUCGAAGUCUGCAACCCGACUUCGUGAAGCUGGAUUCGCUAGUAAUCGCGCAUCAGCCAUGGCGCGGUGAAUACGUUCCCGGGCCUUGUACACACCGCCCGUCAAGCCAUGAAAGCCGGGGGUACCUGAAGUACGUAACCGCAAGGAGCGUCCUAGGGUAAAACUGGUAAUUGGGGCUAAGUCGNAANNNNNUAGCC